Molecule: long non-coding RNA, 1591 nt
Organism: Mustela lutreola (European mink)
Lineage: Eukaryota; Metazoa; Chordata; Mammalia; Carnivora; Mustelidae
Exons: 3
Source: RefSeq, a predicted model, not a curated record
AGCCGAGGACCUCGGCGUCUCAGGAGCUCGGCACAGAAAUCUCUGUCGCUCAAGCGAUAGUCGGAUCUGGGUGUCCGGGGGGAGGGGUGGGGGCAGCUCUCCCAGGCAGCUAGAGGUAAGCAGAGACCCGGGACCCAGGCGUCUUCCAUCUUGUAGGGCUACCCUUUUGCCACGAGGCUCCCGAGGUCACCCUGCAGGCUGCCUCCCCUCCAGCCCACUAGGAGGGAAGAGAACAGAGGGUGAGCACAAGAAGGUGGUGCUCGAGAGAGCCGUAAGUCACAUCGCCAUCCACCCCAAUCCCUGAGAGGCCUGAUGGACGUGUACGCAGAGUCUCUUGUUGGUGCGUUACAAACCCUUCCUGAAGCCAGGCUCCCCGUCCCUACAUUUGUGCUUCGUGUCCUCACUCCCUUGUGACCUGAUUCUGAAACCUGAUGAUUGUCAGGAGCUUAAAACCGUGCACGUUCAAGAGGAUGAGAACACAAGCUCCAGACGGGCGAGAAUAUUUGCAAAAAACAUACUUGAUAAAGGGCUGUUACCCCAAAUAUACAAAACCCCUUAAGGCUCAUCAAUAAACAAAUAACCUGAUUUUUUGAUAAAUGGGCUAAAGACCUCAACAGACAUCCCACCAAAGAAGACACGCAGAUAGCAAAUAAGCAGAUGAAAAAUGCUUCCCCGUCAUCCGUCUUGAGUGAAUCGCAAACGAUAACCACAACAAGACAGCAGUUCGCAUCUCGUGGAUCGGCUAAAGGGCAGAGCUCCGCCAACACCAAAUGCUGGCGAGGCGGGGGAGCGACAGGAACGCUCGCUCACUGCGGGCGGGAACGCAGAAGGGGCUGCCACUUUGGAAGACUGUUUGGGGAUUUCUUACAAAACUGAACAUGCUCUUACUGUAUGAUCCAGCAGUCGUGCUCCUUGGUGUUUCCCCAAAGGAUCUGAAAGCCACUGUCUACACAAAAACCUGCACACCAAUGUGUGCAGCAGCUUUGCUCCUCAUCGCCAGCAUUUGGGAAGCACCCAAGACGUCCUUUAGCCUGUGAGUGGAUAAAACGAGGUCGUCCAGACCAUGGACUAUUAUGCAGCACUAAAGGGAAAUAAACUAUCAAACCAUGACAAGACACAGGGGAAACUUACAUGUCUGGUCCUGAGCGAGAUAUUCCAGUCUGGAAAAGCUGUAGACUGUAUGAUUUCAGCUACAUGACAUUCUAAAAAAGGCAAAACUCCAGAGUCAAUAAGAAGAGCAGUGGUUGGCAGAGGUUAUGGAGGGGGGAGGGGAGGGAUGAUCGGCAGAGCACGGAGCGUUUUUAGGGCUGGGAAACUACUCUGUGUCUAUGAUCAGGGUGUUCACAUGCAACGGUGUAUAUGCCCAAACCUCUAGAACGUCCUACACUAAGACCAGACCGGGAUGUCAGCCGUGGACUUUGGGUGACACUGCCGAUGACAAGUCACUGUAGGGUCGCCAACCAUAACAAACGUUGCGCUCUGGAGGGGGCUGUUGAUAACGGGGAGGCUGUGUCUAUGCGGGGCAAGGGGUAGAGGGGAACUCUCUGUACUGUCCUCCUGAUGGUGCUGUGAACCUAAAACUGUUCUAAAA